CCUACGGGGGGCAGCAGUGAGGAAUAUUGGUCAAUGGACGAGAGUCUGAACCAGCCAAGUAGCGUGAAGGAUGACUGCCCUAUGGGUUGUAAACUUCUUUUAUAAAGGAAUAAAACGAGGCACGUGUGCCUUUUUGCAUGUACUUUAUGAAUAAGGAUCGGCUAACUCCGUGCCAGCAGCCGCGGUAAUACGGAGGAUCCGAGCGUUAUCCGGAUUUAUUGGGUUUAAAGGGAGCGUAGAUGGGUUGUUAAGUCAGUUGUGAAAGUUUGAGGCUCAACCGUAAAAUUGCAAUUGAUACUGGUAGUCUUGAGUACAGUUGAGGUAGGCGGAAUUCGUGGUGUAGCGGUGAAAUGCUUAGAGAUCACGAAGAACCCCGAUUGCGAAGGCAGCUUACUAAACUGUUACUGACAUUGAUGCUCGAAAGUGUGGGUAUCAAACAGGAUUAGAUACCCCGGUAGUC
This 460-nucleotide ribosomal RNA is filed under the name uncultured bacterium. Its description in RNAcentral is "partial 16S ribosomal RNA". It matches the Rfam family "Bacterial small subunit ribosomal RNA", at positions 338 to 795 of the family's 1533-position model. The record is from RNAcentral.